GAGUUCAAGAGUACUUGAAACCGUUCAGGGGUAAACCUGAGAAACCCGAAAGGUCGAAAGGGGAAAUUCAUUCGCGUUUCGGCAUGUCGGCGAUGGGSGGUUGAGUGACGGACGGCGUUCGCGUCGUCCGCGCCUUUCGUCUUUCSAACCGGCGUCGAACGCGUGCACUUUUCCCCUAGUAGGACGUCGCGAUCCGUUGGGUGUCGGUCUAAGGUUCGGGGUGGAGCCCGCGCGGACGUUUCGGCGUUCCGCUCGGACCCCCGGAAUCCCGGCCGACUGCUCGACGGUAUACAGAUGGCGCGAGGCCGCUACAUAGUUAGCGUUCGGCCCGCGGCAAGCGCGUUCGGCGUUUGACGGCGAUCGGACCCGGUGCCGGUCCUGUCCACSAACGACUGKUGGCUGCGGUGUUCUCGAACARACCUCGUCGAAACGCCSA
RNAcentral lists this ribosomal RNA (436 nucleotides) under Aulacoscelis sp. JJG497. RNAcentral's name for it is "eukaryotic LSU rRNA". Lineage: Eukaryota; Metazoa; Arthropoda; Insecta; Coleoptera; Chrysomelidae. The record is from RNAcentral.